RNAcentral lists this long non-coding RNA (545 nucleotides) under Pan troglodytes (chimpanzee). RNAcentral's name for it is "long non-coding RNA NONPTRT011683". The record is from RNAcentral. Lineage: Eukaryota; Metazoa; Chordata; Mammalia; Primates; Hominidae.
GAAAAGCACUCUAAGGGGAAGGAAGGGUGUUAGGAAAAAAAGACCUUCGAUGAUGCAGGUGUCUGUGUAUAAGGAACUAUGACCUACCAAAAAACCACCACAUAAGGAGAGGCCAAUAUAAUUUGCCAGUCUGACAAGAUAGUUGGUAUUAUAAGUGGAAGAGACCUCAAGGAUCACAUAAUUCAGCUCUUUGAUUUUAGACGGAGGAAAGACGAGGCCCAGAGAUGGGAAGUGGCUUGCCUAAGUACAUUAGCAAGUUAGCUUCAAUGGUUAUUUUUAUACACACACAGGCACACAUACAUACUGUUGCACUGACUUCUGUUUUGUACAUAAAAUGCUACUGGCUCAUACAAUACAUCAAUAAAUAUGCAACUUUUCAUUUGUUAUUUCAUUGCUGGAAGUGGGAAAUACCCCAUCUUCCCAGGAGUGAAAUGGUUCUACUUUCUCUCCGUGGUGCCCUGUAUCAUUACUCAGCUCUACUGCUGCUCUCCGCAGCCCCUAAAAGUAGCAUGGAUCGGGGAAGAAGGAAGGACGGCAGGAAGGCA